GAGGGUAUAGCUCAGUGGUAGAGCACCUGCUUAGCAAGCACGAGGUCCUGGGUUCAAUCCCCAGUACCGCCC
RNAcentral lists this transfer RNA (72 nucleotides) under Camelus bactrianus (Bactrian camel). It matches the Rfam family "tRNA". Rfam says of the family: Transfer RNA (tRNA) molecules are approximately 80 nucleotides in length. Their secondary structure includes four short double-helical elements and three loops (D, anti-codon, and T loops). Further hydrogen bonds mediate the characteristic L-shaped molecular structure. tRNAs have two regions of fundamental functional importance: the anti-codon, which is responsible for specific mRNA codon recognition, and the 3' end, to which the tRNAs corresponding amino acid is attached (by aminoacyl-tRNA synthetases). tRNAs cope with the degeneracy of the genetic code in two manners: having more than one tRNA (with a specific anti-codon) for a particular amino acid; and 'wobble' base-pairing, i.e. permitting non-standard base-pairing at the 3rd anti-codon position. RNAcentral also lists the same sequence under 3 other names. The record is from Rfam by way of RNAcentral. Lineage: Eukaryota; Metazoa; Chordata; Mammalia; Artiodactyla; Camelidae.